UUGUACUACUAGGGGUGCCCACUUGGGCUGAGAGGAAAGAUCCGACCCUUAUGGACCUGAUCUGGUUAAUACCAGCGGAGGGAAGUAGUGGAUAAAUUAU
Molecule: non-coding RNA, 100 nt
Filed under: Virgibacillus sp. SK37
Lineage: Bacteria; Bacillati; Bacillota; Bacilli; Caryophanales; Bacillaceae
Also listed under: 1 other name
Description: TPP riboswitch aptamer (THI element)
Rfam family: TPP riboswitch aptamer (THI element)
About the family: Vitamin B(1) in its active form thiamin pyrophosphate (TPP) is an essential coenzyme that is synthesised by coupling of pyrimidine and thiazole moieties in bacteria.
Source: Rfam by way of RNAcentral